RNAcentral lists this ribosomal RNA (233 nucleotides) under uncultured bacterium. RNAcentral describes it as "partial 16S ribosomal RNA". It matches the Rfam family "Bacterial small subunit ribosomal RNA", at positions 15 to 244 of the family's 1533-position model. The record is from RNAcentral.
GAUCAUGGCUCAGGAUGAACGCUAGCGGCAGGCUUAACACAUGCAAGUCGAGGGGCAGCGCGGGAUAGCAAUAUCCUGGCGGCGACCGGCGGAAAGGUGCGUAACGCGUGAGCGACAUGCCCGUUGCCCGGGGACAACCGGUGGAAACGCCGACUAAUCCCCGAUGGGAUACGAUGCCUCAUGGCAUUGUAUUGAAAGUUACGGCGGCGACGGAUUGGCUCGCGUCCGAUUAG